Molecule: ribosomal RNA, 294 nt
Filed under: uncultured bacterium
Lineage: Bacteria
Description: partial 16S ribosomal RNA
Rfam family: Bacterial small subunit ribosomal RNA
Source: RNAcentral
GUGUCAGCCGCCGCGGUAAGACAUAGGUCGCAAACGUUAUCCGGAAUUAUUGGGCGUAAAGGAUGCGUAGAUGGUUCAGUAAGUUACUGGUGGGAAAUCGAGGCCCAACCUCGUGGAAGUUAGUAAUACUGUUGAACUUGAGUGCAGGAGAGGUUAACGGAACUUCAUGUGGAGCGGUAAAAUGCGUAGAUAUAUGAAAGAACAUCAAUAUAGCGAAGGCAGUUAACUAUUCUGCUACUGACAUUGAGGCAUGAAAGCGUGGGGAGCAAAACGGAUUAGAUACCCCUGUAGUCC